This 219-nucleotide unclassified non-coding RNA is filed under the name Hevea brasiliensis (rubber tree). Lineage: Eukaryota; Viridiplantae; Streptophyta; Magnoliopsida; Malpighiales; Euphorbiaceae. The record is from RNAcentral.
GCCUUGGUGUUCCAGCAUUAAAAAGGGUGGGCGAUGCAUGAGUGAACCAUCGUUGAGACAUCAAAUGGUAGGUUUUGAUAACAGAAUCAAUAUCAUCCAUGUGAAUUCCAACAGCAACUCAUCAGCAUGUGCUGAGGUCUCUCUACUACCUUCCCUUGCACUUUUAAGAGAUAGGACCGUUCCAAGGUCUUGAAGCCAAAGUAAUCAUAGUCAAAGUCC